AGCGUAGACGGUAGACCAAGUCUGAAGUGAAAGCCCGGGGCUCAACCCCGGAACUGCUUUGGAAACUGGUAAACUAGAGUGCAGGAGAGGUAAGUGGAAUUCCUAGUGUAGCGGUGAAAUGCGUAGAUAUUAGGAGGAACACCAGUGGCGAAGGCGGCUUACUGGACUGUAACUGACGUUGAGGCUCGAAAGCGUGGGGAGCAAACA
This 207-nucleotide ribosomal RNA is filed under the name uncultured bacterium. RNAcentral's name for it is "partial 16S ribosomal RNA". It matches the Rfam family "Bacterial small subunit ribosomal RNA", at positions 568 to 774 of the family's 1533-position model. The record is from RNAcentral.